CUGCUCCAUGAAUAAUUAUUAAAUAGCUGCAGUAUUAAUAACUGUACUAAGGUAGCAUAAUAAUUUGUUUUUUAAUUAAAAACUAGAAUGAAUGAUUUAAUGAAAUAUAAACUGUCUCAAAUUAAAUUAAUAAAAUUAUUAUUUAAGUAAAAAAACUUAAAUAAAAUUUAAAGACGAGAAGACCCUAAAGAAUUUUAAUAUUAUAAUUUUAUUAAUAAUUUUUAAAAUUAAAAUAAUUUAAUUGGGGAAAUUUUAAAAUUUAAAUAAUUUUUAAUUAAAAAUAACAAUUAUUUUUGGAUUAUUAAAAAUUUUUAUAAAAAAAAAUUAAAUUACCUUAGGGAUAACAGCAUAAUUUUUUUUUAAAGUUCAAAUUAAUAUUAAAGUUUAUGACCUCGAUGUUGAAUUAAGAUUAAAUUUAAUAGAAAAAUAUUAAAAUUUUAAGUCUGUUCGACU
RNAcentral lists this ribosomal RNA (453 nucleotides) under Apanteles sp. RNAcentral describes it as "partial 16S ribosomal RNA". The record is from RNAcentral. Lineage: Eukaryota; Metazoa; Arthropoda; Insecta; Hymenoptera; Braconidae.